Molecule: ribosomal RNA, 465 nt
Filed under: uncultured bacterium
Lineage: Bacteria
Description: bacterial SSU rRNA
Rfam family: Bacterial small subunit ribosomal RNA
Source: RNAcentral
GGAGGAAAGCAGGGGAUCGCAAGACCUUGCGCUUUUGGAGCGGCCGAUGUCUGAUUAGCUAGUUGGUGAGGUAAAGGCUUACCAAGGCGUCGAUCAGUAGCUGGUCUGAGAGGACGACCAGCCACACUGGGACUGAGACACGGCCCAGACUCCUACGGGAGGCAGCAGUGGGGAAUUUUGGACAAUGGGGGAAACCCUGAUCCAGCCAUGCCGCGUGAGUGAAGAAGGCCUUCGGGUUGUAAAGCUCCUUCAGCCGGAACGAAACGGUCACGGUUAAUACCCGUGACUACUGACGGUACCGGAAGAAGAAGCACCGGCUAACUACGUGCCAGCAGCCGCGGUAAUACGUAGGGUGCGAGCGUUAAUCGGAAUUACUGGGCGUAAAGCGUGCGCAGGCGGUUUUGUAAGUCAGAUGUGAAAUCCCCGGGCUUAACCUGGGAACUGCGUUUGAAACUACAAGGCUAG